RNAcentral lists this ribosomal RNA (403 nucleotides) under Fusobacteriota bacterium. Its description in RNAcentral is "Fusobacteria bacterium partial 16S ribosomal RNA". It matches the Rfam family "Bacterial small subunit ribosomal RNA", at positions 355 to 776 of the family's 1533-position model. Lineage: Bacteria; Fusobacteriati; Fusobacteriota. The record is from RNAcentral.
UGGGGAAUAUUGCACAAUGGAGGGAACUCUGAUGCAGCGACGCCGCGUGAACGAAGAAGGCUUUCGAGUCGUAAGGUUCUUUUAUAUGGAAAGAUAAUGACGGUACCAUAAGAAAAAGCCCCGGCUAACUACGUGCCAGCAGCCGCGGUAAUACGUAGGGGGCUAGCGUUGUCCGGAAUCACUGGGCGUAAAGGGUUCGCAGGCGGAAAUGCAAGUCAGGUGUAAAAGGCAGUAGCUUAACUACUGUAAGCAUUUGAAACUGCAUAUCUUGAGAAGAGUAGAGGUAAGUGGAAUUUUUAGUGUAGCGGUGAAAUGCGUAGAUAUUAAAAAGAAUACCGGUGGCGAAGGCGACUUACUGGGCUCAUUCUGACGCUGAGGAACGAAAGCGUGGGUAGCAAACAGG